RNAcentral lists this transfer RNA (73 nucleotides) under Felis catus (domestic cat). It matches the Rfam family "tRNA". From Rfam's summary of the family: Transfer RNA (tRNA) molecules are approximately 80 nucleotides in length. Their secondary structure includes four short double-helical elements and three loops (D, anti-codon, and T loops). Further hydrogen bonds mediate the characteristic L-shaped molecular structure. tRNAs have two regions of fundamental functional importance: the anti-codon, which is responsible for specific mRNA codon recognition, and the 3' end, to which the tRNAs corresponding amino acid is attached (by aminoacyl-tRNA synthetases). tRNAs cope with the degeneracy of the genetic code in two manners: having more than one tRNA (with a specific anti-codon) for a particular amino acid; and 'wobble' base-pairing, i.e. permitting non-standard base-pairing at the 3rd anti-codon position. Lineage: Eukaryota; Metazoa; Chordata; Mammalia; Carnivora; Felidae. RNAcentral also lists the same sequence under 1 other name. The record is from Rfam by way of RNAcentral.
GCCUGGCUGGCUCAGUUGGUAGAGCAUGCGACUCUUAAUCAUGGAGUCAUGAGUUUGAGCCCCAUGUUGGGCA